GAUGAAGAACGUAGCGAAAUGCGAUAAGUAGUGUGAAUUGCAGAAUUCAGUGAAUCAUCGAAUCUUUGAACGCACAUUGCGGCCAUAGGUAUUCCUUUGGCCAUGCCUGUCGAGCGUCAUUUACACCCUCAAGCCUAGCUUGGUGUUGGGCGCCUGUCCCGCCGUUUUCGCGCGCGGACUCGCCUCAAAGUCAUUGGCGGCGGUCGUGCCGGCCCCCUCGCGCAGCACAUUUGCGCUUCUCGGAGGCCCGGCGGAUCCGCGCUCCAGCAAGACCUUUCACGACUUGACCUCGGAUCAGGUAGGGAUACCCGCUGAACUUAAGCAUAUCAAUAAGCGGAGGA
Molecule: unclassified non-coding RNA, 341 nt
Filed under: soil metagenome
Description: partial contains 5.8S ribosomal RNA, internal transcribed spacer 2, and large subunit ribosomal RNA
Rfam family: 5.8S ribosomal RNA (bases 1-119)
Source: RNAcentral